This 479-nucleotide ribosomal RNA is filed under the name Streptococcus mitis. RNAcentral describes it as "bacterial SSU rRNA". It matches the Rfam family "Bacterial small subunit ribosomal RNA", at positions 28 to 493 of the family's 1533-position model. Lineage: Bacteria; Bacillati; Bacillota; Bacilli; Lactobacillales; Streptococcaceae. The record is from RNAcentral.
GACGAACGCUGGCGGCGUGCCUAAUACAUGCAAGUAGAACGCUGAAGGAGGAGCUUGCUUCUCUGGAUGAGUUGCGAACGGGUGAGUAACGCGUAGGUAACCUGCCUGGUAGCGGGGGAUAACUAUUGGAAACGAUAGCUAAUACCGCAUAACAGUAGAUGUUGCAUGACAUUUGCUUAAAAGGUGCAAUUGCAUCACUACCAGAUGGACCUGCGUUGUAUUAGCUAGUUGGUGGGGUAACGGCUCACCAAGGCGACGAUACAUAGCCGACCUGAGAGGGUGAUCGGCCACACUGGGACUGAGACACGGCCCAGACUCCUACGGGAGGCAGCAGUAGGGAAUCUUCGGCAAUGGACGGAAGUCUGACCGAGCAACGCCGCGUGAGUGAAGAAGGUUUUCGGAUCGUAAAGCUCUGUUGUAAGAGAAGAACGAGUGUGAGAGUGGAAAGUUCACACUGUGACGUAUCUACCAGAAAGGAC